AUAGAAACCUAGAAACAGUCUCUCAGCUCGUUUUCGCUUUCAAACCAAUCUUCUCCCUCACUCUGGUACACAACAGAAAUCUUUGAACUAAAAACCCAAUCCAACAUCAAUAUCGAUCGAUUCAUGGUAGCUUGAAUCUUAGCCAUCUUCUUCUUUCCCUUAUUUGCAGACUCCUCUUCGAUAAGCUCAACGAGCUUCCAACUGUUUUGUUCAAUGAAUCAAACCUAAUUAUUCAUCUCACUUUGCCUAGGCGGCAACACCGGCGGUUUAGGCGGAGCCUGUUAUUUCUUGAAUCCUAAAGCUGAGGAGAAAAGUUCAAGGGCAAGCCCAGUGAUUACUACCACUUCUCCACUCAUGAAGAGAUGGAUGUAGAUGAAUUUGUACAUGUUUUGCACAUUCCGAUUUUGAAUUUGGGGUUUAGUUGAAGAUUCAAAGCUAGUUGGUUCAAAAGAGGGAUUUGGGGAACCUAAUUGGGUUGUACAGAGAGUGGCAUUCUCAUUUGCUGCCCUAUUACUCAUUCGAUCAAUUUGUGCAUGAAGUGGAACAAGUGGCGGCCACAAAAAGAGUCAAGGUCAAUCUUUUGGCGGAUAAGGUGGACACUCAACUGAAUCUUGUUGAAAAAUUAUACAUUGCCCUUGAUCAUUAUUCACCAAUAUUGCAGCAUUAUCCUGGAUGACUUCCAUUGCAUUCUAGCUUCCUUUCCUUUGCCAACACUUCUCCAACAUCAGUAUGUGUAUAGUCCUUGCCAUGUGAAGCCAUGCCUUUGUACCUCUUCACCUACUGCUGUUUCUUUC
Long non-coding RNA from Rosa chinensis, 794 nucleotides. RefSeq lists it as uncharacterized. The transcript is spliced from 5 exons. The record is from RefSeq and is a predicted model, not a curated record. Lineage: Eukaryota; Viridiplantae; Streptophyta; Magnoliopsida; Rosales; Rosaceae.